GACUUAAGCAUAUCAAUAAGCGGAGGAAAAGAAACUAACAAGGAUUCCCCUAGUAACUGCGAGUGAAGCGGGAAAAGCUCAAAUUUAAAAUCUGGCGGUCUCUGGCCGUCCGAGUUGUAAUCUAGAGAAGUAAUGCCCGUGCUGGACCGUGUAUAAGUCUCCUGGGAUGGGGCGUCAUAGAGGGUGAGAAUCCCGUCUUUGACACGGACUACCAGUGCAUUGUGGUAUGCUCUCAAAGAGUCGAGUUGUUUGGGAAUGCAGCUCAAAAUGGGUGGUAAAUUCCAUCUAAAGCUAAAUAUUGGCGAGAGACCGAUAGCGAACAAGUACCGUGAGGGAAAGAUGAAAAGAACUUUGGAAAGAGAGUUAAACAGUACGUGAAAUUGCUGAAAGGGAAACGCUUGAAGUCAGUCGCGUUGGCCGGGGAUCAGCCUUGCUUUUGCAUGGUGUACUUUCUGGUUGACGGGUCAGCAUCAAUUUUGACCGCUGGAAAAAGACCUGGGGAAUGUGGCAGCUUCGGCUGUGUUAUAGCCCCUAGUCGCAUACAGUGGUUGGGAUUGAGGAACUCAGCACGCCGCAAGGCCGGGUUUCGACCACGUUCGUGCUUAGGAUGCUGGCAUAAUGGCUUUAAGCGACCCGUCUUGAAACACGGACCAAGGAGUCUAACAUGCCUGCGAGUAUUUGGGUGGAAAACCCAAGUGCGUAAUGAAAGUGAAAGUUGAGAUCCCUGUCGUGGGGAGCAUCGACGCCCGGACCAGAACUUUUGGGACGGAUCCGCGGUGGAGCAUGUAUGUUGGGACCCGAAAGAUGGUGAACUAUGCCUGAAUAGGGUGAAGCCAGAGGAAACUCUGGUGGAGGCUCGUAGCGAUUCUGACGUGCAAAUCGAUCGUCAAAUUUGGGUAUAGGGGCGAAAGACUAAUCGAACCAUCUAGUAGCUGGUUCCUGCCAAUCCCC
This 951-nucleotide ribosomal RNA is filed under the name Agaricus megacarpus. RNAcentral describes it as "partial large subunit ribosomal RNA". It matches the Rfam family "Eukaryotic large subunit ribosomal RNA", at positions 31 to 971 of the family's 3401-position model. The record is from RNAcentral. Lineage: Eukaryota; Fungi; Basidiomycota; Agaricomycetes; Agaricales; Agaricaceae.